Small nuclear RNA from Trichomycterus rosablanca, 158 nucleotides. RefSeq annotates it as U1 spliceosomal RNA. The record is from RefSeq and is a predicted model, not a curated record. NCBI's taxonomy places the organism in Eukaryota, Metazoa, Chordata, Actinopteri, Siluriformes, Trichomycteridae. The transcript has a single exon.
AUAUUACCUGGCAGGGGCGAGACCAUGAUCAAGAAGGUGGUUCACCCUGGGCAAGGCUCAUUGCACACUGGUUGUGCUGACCCCUUUGAACUCCCCAAAUGUUGGAAUCUUGACUGUGCAAUUUUUGAUAAUGGGGACUGCGUUUGUACUUUCCCCUG